RNAcentral lists this long non-coding RNA (262 nucleotides) under Homo sapiens (human). Its description in RNAcentral is "HSALNT0024685". Lineage: Eukaryota; Metazoa; Chordata; Mammalia; Primates; Hominidae. The record is from RNAcentral.
UAUACAAGAAAUUUCUCUAAGAGGAGAGAAAGGAGAGAGAUCAUGGCAGAUGGGACAGAGACCUCAUACAGAUUUGUUGAAUUGCAACAUUAUGGGAGGUGCAAGUCACAUUUUUGGAAGAACAAGUCACAUUAUGUUGGAAUAUAUUUCUACAAGUUAUUAGCAGAAUUUUAAUUAGAAUAUUAUGGAGAAUGCAUGUGGCACCACUAAGCACACACCAUUUGAAUCAGAUAUGCUUCACUUUCAGACACAACUUAAAAAU